CGUGUAGGCGGGUUGUUAAGUCCGCUGUGAAAGCCCGGUGCUCAACGCCGGAGGGUCGGUGGAUACUGGCAGUCUUGAAGUGGCUAGGGGGAAAUGGAAUUACCGGUGUAGCGGUGAAACGCGUAGAUAUCGGUAGGAACACCAGUGGCGAAGGCGGUUUCCUGGAGCUAACUUGACGCUGAGACGCGAAAGCUGGGGGAGCAAACG
RNAcentral lists this ribosomal RNA (207 nucleotides) under uncultured bacterium. RNAcentral's name for it is "partial 16S ribosomal RNA". It matches the Rfam family "Bacterial small subunit ribosomal RNA", at positions 568 to 774 of the family's 1533-position model. The record is from RNAcentral.